Long non-coding RNA from Aedes albopictus (Asian tiger mosquito), 829 nucleotides. RefSeq lists it as uncharacterized. The record is from RefSeq and is a predicted model, not a curated record. Lineage: Eukaryota; Metazoa; Arthropoda; Insecta; Diptera; Culicidae. The transcript has 3 exons.
CUGAACACUGUUAAAUUGUAAUAAAAAUAACAUCAAGCCGUAAGUCGCAAUUUGUGAACCCCUGCGCUGCACAAGCAGUCAACAAGAAGGAAACUUUUGCAUCUGUCCACCACAUACGGACGGCGUACACAAACACACCGUUUGCCUUCCGUAUUCGAAGCAAUGAUAAAUCAUCAUUGAUCAUUGAUCAGCGCAAAGUCGCUAACAGCGGCAACGUGGACACUACCACCAACAACACCCAGAUCACGAGGAGAGGCGCCGAACAUUAGCUCACCACCGAAGUGGGAUGCGAGCGACAAAUCAUCGACACGCGAACAAGCCAGCUAUUACACAAUCAAGCCGAUCGGAGCAGCAAGGCAGCUUGCUGGCUUGGGCAAAUCAGUUCGUGCCGUAUCAGUCCCCAAGUGCAGUCGUGUGAUCGCGUCGCUCCGGCAGAAAUUAACCGCAGUUAGAGUGAAAAUUAACAGAUUUCGGACCGCUAAUUACUCGGCUGGAAGACGCGGGUCUACUAUCUGCACCGGUCGAGCUUAAGGGCUUGGCGGAUUGCGUGGGCAAGCUAAUAGCAGGCAGGGACGCCAGCGCUCACACACACACGCGCUGGGUGUGGGAUGCCGCGUGGCGAGAAAAGCGGUAGCGAACUAGAUCUUUGGAGGCCAAUCCGGGCCGGAAUCGUCGCUCAAGCCGCGUGAGUCAGCACUCUCGAAUUGAAAGCCGAAACUGUCGCUCUCACCGGGGCAAAAUCAUCCGCGCAGAAGGAUAAUCAAGAAAACAGACGUCGUUCGUCGACACCGCGACUUUUCCGCUACGGAGAGCGAACUGCCAGACCACC